This 133-nucleotide ribosomal RNA is filed under the name Cytospora mali. RNAcentral describes it as "partial 28S ribosomal RNA". The record is from RNAcentral. Lineage: Eukaryota; Fungi; Ascomycota; Sordariomycetes; Diaporthales; Cytosporaceae.
CAGGACUCCGAGCGCAGUAGUAAAACCCUCGCUUUGGACUGUACUGGCGCGGCCCUGCCGUAAAACCCCCAACUUCUGAAAAUUUGACCUCGGAUCAGGUAGGAAUACCCGCUGAACUUAAGCAUAUCAUAAG